RNAcentral lists this non-coding RNA (434 nucleotides) under Pan troglodytes (chimpanzee). Lineage: Eukaryota; Metazoa; Chordata; Mammalia; Primates; Hominidae. The record is from RNAcentral.
UCGAUCCAGGGGCCGCCAAGCGGCGGGGCGGGCGCUCUUCCGGCAUCCGCCGCCGCCCCCUUGCCACCACCUGCCAAGCCCCUGCAGCCUAGAAACCCGCCACCCGAGAGGCACUACUGCUCAGUCCAGACAGUAGCCGCCGCUGCCGCCGUUGCCGCCGCUGGCUAAGGAAGAGCCAUAUUACCGCAGUGCAACCCCUCCACCCCGCCGAGACCCGGAGCGCUCAUUGGCUUAGCCCUCAAGGAGGCGGGACCCAACGGCAGAAAAGGGGCGUGCUAUUGGGUAGAAGAGAGCCACCACGCAGGAUGCACUGGGACCUGAGAACCGUCGGGCAGUCCCACGAGCUCUUUCAUGACCAGCUCCAACCGACAAGUACACGCCCCUUCUCGCACUCCACUAGCUAGUAAGCUGAGCUACAAGGUGUGCCAGGCACC